UAUUUCGUCGGACGACCUUUGAACAUCCUCCGAGCGACCGAUCGUUUAAUUAACAUCGUUUUUAUUAAACGUCAUAUAAACAUCGGUUAUCGCCGCUUAUUUAACCGCAAUGAAAUCGCCAUUGUCGUCGUGUUCGAUCGUCGUCGUAACGCUUCUGGCGGUCUGUCGUUUUUCCGACGCGUUCGAUUGGGAAAAUCAUCCCAACGGCAAACUCGUCAAGUCCGAGGUGAUAUUCAGCCUUCCCCACAAUGUCGUGUUCGGCACGAUUAACGGCGGCAACGUUGACGCGUCGAAAAUCCCGUGGGCCGCGAGAAUCAGGUCGUACAAACUGCUGUACGUGUUGGCAAAGUACUGUGAGUACACGUUCUGGAUAAAUUCGCCGAGCCAUAUCAGUAGCGCGAUUAGCACGCCGACGAAGAAAGUCAUCGAUUUCAUGAAACGUCACAAAACGGACAUUUCCAAUCUGGAGCAACUGUUGAACGACACUUUUUCGAAUCCAAAUCACGCGAACGCCGACAAGAAUCUGACCCUCAAGUUGCUGUUGAGAUUCCAAAAAGGCAUUUAUAAUCUGUUGUUUAGCGACGUGACGACGUUCAACGCUUUAAUGUUGAAUGUGACGCUAAACGAAAAUUUCUGCGUCAGACUCGAACAGGCGAUUAAAGCGUGGACGUUUUUCGACAACUUGGCGGACGACGAGGAAUCGACAAAAUAUAUCCCUGCGAAUUUCGAACAGAACUGUAUGUUUCCGACGCAAUAUUUUUACAACAAAAUCAUAGGCGAGCACAAGAAGCCGAAAAAAAAAGAAGAAGAAGAAGAAGAAGAUAAAAAAGAAAUUAUAACAUUCAUAUGAAAAAUUAAUUUUAUUAAAACUAUAUGUAAUUAAUAAAAUUAAAACUAUGUGUAAUUAAUAAAAUUAAAACUAUAUGUAAUUANAAAA
Long non-coding RNA from Daktulosphaira vitifoliae (grape phylloxera), 937 nucleotides. RefSeq lists it as uncharacterized. Lineage: Eukaryota; Metazoa; Arthropoda; Insecta; Hemiptera; Phylloxeridae. The record is from RefSeq and is a predicted model, not a curated record. The transcript has 2 exons.